Molecule: ribosomal RNA, 429 nt
Filed under: Acidobacteriota bacterium
Lineage: Bacteria; Pseudomonadati; Acidobacteriota
Description: Acidobacteria bacterium partial 16S ribosomal RNA
Rfam family: Bacterial small subunit ribosomal RNA
Source: RNAcentral
UGGGGAAUUUUGGACAAUGGGGGAAACCCUGAUCCAGCCAUCCCGCGUGUGCGAUGAAGGCCUUCGGGUUGUAAAGCACUUUUGGCAGGAAAGAAACGUCAUGGGUUAAUACCCCGUGAAACUGACGGUACCUGCAGAAUAAGCACCGGCUAACUACGUGCCAGCAGCCGCGGUAAUACGUAGGGUGCAAGCGUUAAUCGGAAUUACUGGGCGUAAAGCGUGCCCAGGCGGUUCGGAAAGAAAGAUGUGAAAUCCCAGAGCUCAACUUUGGAACUGCAUUUUUAACUACCGGGCUAGAAUGUGUCAGAGAGAGGUGGAAUUCCGCGUGUAGCAGUGAAAUGCGUAGUUAUGCGGAGGAACACCGAUGGCGAAGGCAGCCUCCUGGGAUAACACUGACGCUCAUGCACGAAAGCGUGGGGAGCAAACAGG